CUUUCCAGAGAUGAAAAUACCCACCUCUUUUUGCUUGCGUGCUUGAGGGCUAUAUAAAGAUCUGCACCUUUAUAUAGACAGUUAUUUAAAUAGCACAGAUAUCUGGAGCAGCGAACCCAACACAAAACUCCCUGCUCAGUAUUUCUUCUUCUCACCCCAGGGUUGCGUUUAGCCCUCCAUUUCUCAGCUUCAGUCCCACCUGCCUCCUGCUGCUCUCACCCUGUUAAACUCGCGGGCUGCAGAAGGGAGCCCGAGGCUGCCCCGACCCUGAGCCUGGGGCGGGGCUGGAGACAAGGCCGCAGGCCCAUGGCUGUUUCAACACACCUUGCAGAUCCUCCCUGAGAAACUAAGGAUCAGCGGUGCUUCUCUUGUGCAACCUGUGCCAUGGCGCAGGAUGGAGCCUGGGGUCUCCAGCAUGGUACAGACCACUGAGAGCAUGUGAAAGCUUGGGCAAGCAUUCCCAAAAUGCCUUGCUAAGGACUUCAACGGUUGCCUCUGAAGCCUGUCACACUUGUUCCACAGCCAGUUUAAGUGUACAGGAAGUGAGAGGGGCAGUGAUUUCCCCUGUCAUAUAUCUACAGGCCACAGGCACAUUCUUUGACAAUCUCUGCUUAGCCGAGAAUGAGAACAAGAGACUCAAGCUUGAGUCUCCCACUUGUUGGCACCAGGAAUGAGCCAUCCUGCAUUUAACCUGCGGUUUCCAGAAGUAAGCAGGCUCUCCUGCUUUCCCUCUCCCUUGGCCAGACUGGGAACAGGCUGUGUGGAAGGCACAGUUUAGCUUUGCCUUUCAAGACUCUGCCUGUGGAGGUGGGUACCUGCCACAGCCCCAGCCUUAAC
This 837-nucleotide long non-coding RNA is filed under the name Apteryx rowi (Okarito brown kiwi). Its description in RNAcentral is "lncRNA (ENSARWG00000001498.1)". Lineage: Eukaryota; Metazoa; Chordata; Aves; Apterygiformes; Apterygidae. The record is from RNAcentral.